Molecule: unclassified non-coding RNA, 244 nt
Filed under: fungal sp.
Lineage: Eukaryota; Fungi
Also listed under: 1 other name
Description: partial internal transcribed spacer region
Rfam family: Eukaryotic small subunit ribosomal RNA (bases 1-46)
Source: RNAcentral
AAGUCGUAACAAGGUUUCCGUAGGUGAACCUGCGGAAGGAUCAUUACCUGGCCUUGGGCCGCUCGCGGGGGCUCGCUCCCGGGGGUGCUUAGCCCUUGACCUUCACCUUGACUAUGCGCACCUUUGUUGUUCCCUCGGCAGGUCUCCUGCCGCCAGGGACCCCAAAACCCUUUAGUAUUAGCAUUAAACUUCUGAAAACAAACCUAAUUAUUUACAACUUUCAACAAUGGAUCUCUUGGUUCUG